ACUGAGACACGGCCCAGACUCCUACGGGAGGCAGCAGUGGGGAAUAUUGGGCAAUGGAGGAAACUCUGACCCAGCGACGCCGCGUGCGGGAUGAAGGAUUCGGGUUGUAAACCUCUUUUAUUAGGGAAGAAGCGAAAGUGACGGUACCUACAAAAGAAGCACCGGCUAACUAUGUGCCAGCAGCCGCGGUAAUA
This 194-nucleotide ribosomal RNA is filed under the name uncultured bacterium. RNAcentral's name for it is "partial 16S ribosomal RNA". It matches the Rfam family "Bacterial small subunit ribosomal RNA", at positions 318 to 525 of the family's 1533-position model. The record is from RNAcentral.